Molecule: ribosomal RNA, 200 nt
Filed under: uncultured bacterium
Lineage: Bacteria
Description: partial 16S ribosomal RNA
Rfam family: Bacterial small subunit ribosomal RNA
Source: RNAcentral
AGAGUUUGAUCCUGGCUCAGGACGAACGCUGGCGGCGUGCUUAACACAUGCAAGUCGAACGGUGAACCGCCUCGGGCGGGGAUCAGUGGCGAACGGGUGAGUAACACGUGGGUAACCUGCCCUCCACUCUGGGAUAACUCCGGGAAACCGGGGCUAAUACCGGAUACGACCUGAGGCGGCAUCGCCUCGGGUGGAAAGUU